GCCCCUAAAUACACACACACCAGUUGGUGGUUGUGCAGCCUGGAGCCUCCAGUCCGCGAGUGUGAGGAACGGACUAGAUGGGUCCAGCAGUGCUGGGUCAAGGCCAGGAGGGGGCAGCCGGAAGCGCGCACAUGCUCUGGACUCGUGCACCCGCCGAAGCGGGUGAGCACAGGGCGCGCGGGGGUGAGAGGUGAGGGGUGAGGGGUGAGGGGCGAGAGGGACGGGAGCGGGGUAGGGGCAGCCCUUUCCCAGGCGGUAGCGGGGGCUGUGGUGCUGUUGCCCUUUUAAGCUGCGGCUUGACAGGAGCAGCACCUCCUGUCGGUGGAGUCUGUUACAAGGGGAGCAGCCGCCCAGGCCGCCACACAGCUCCCCGCAGAGGCCUCGGUGCCCCUUGCCAUUUUCCAGCCCUACUCCGACUAGAGUCCAGGCAGCGGGGAGAGGCGGAGCCGCGAGAGCGCCGCCGAGAGGUCCGGCGGGUGGUUGCGGCCGUGACAGCGGCUCCCGACCGGCUCACCUUCCGCGCCCCUCCCGCCAGAGGUGAGAGUAAAAUGUCCGUGUCAGGGUUCAAGGCCAAGCUGAAGUUGUUGGCCUCUAUUUUCCACAAGAACCAGGAGCCGCCGCGGCAGCUCAGGCUCCACUGCAACAUCACGGUGAGGCGCCCAGCGGCGGCUUCACAUGGCAGGGCGAGGGCGGAGAGGAAGAGCCCGGAGUCCCGGGACAAAGGGGAACCUGCCCAGGAGAGGCUCCCCGGGCCGGGUGAGCGCGCCCCUUUCUCCCGCGACUGGCCUGGCCCCGAUCGCCGGGACUGCGGGAGGCUUGCGUGGGAGGAGGGGGAGGGCGCGUCUCUCUGGCUCCUUGCUGCGGGGCUGGCUUGGGGGCUGCCGGCACCUCUCGCCCCAGUCACCGCGCCCCGAGGUGGGAGCCCGCGUCGCCCACAGCCCUUUCGGGGCCCAUGGUCGCCCUCAGUCAGCCAGCCUGCUCCCCGGGACCGCGACGGGGCGUGGCAGGGCGGCUCCGGCUGUUGUUUGAGCCCGGGCGGGGAAGGGGAAAGGCCUUCAAGAUUUUCGGGUUUUUGGCCGGGCGCAGUGCUCGUUCCUGUAAUCCCAGUACUUUGGGAGGCUGAGGCAGCUGGAUCGCCUGAGGUCAGGAGUUCUAGACUAGCCCGGCCAACGUGGUAAAACCCUGUCUCUACUAAAAAUACAAAAAUUAGCCGGGCAUGGUGGCAGGCACUUGUUGAGAUGGAGUCUCACUCUGUCGCCCAGGCUGGAGUGCAGUGGGGUGAUCUCGGCUUUCUGCAGCCUCCGUCUCUUGACAGUCCAUGGGUUCAAGCGAUUCUCCUGCCUCAGCCUCCCGAGUAGCUGGGAUUACAGGCUCCAGACACCACGCCUGGCUAACUUUUGUGUUGUUUAGUAGAGACAGGGUUUCACCAUGUUGGCCAGGCUGGUCUCGAACUCCUGACCUCAAAUGACCCAUCUCUGCCUCCCAGAGUUUUGGGAUUACAGGCCUGAGCCACCGCGCCCGGAUCCAAGGCUUUAAGCUUAAAUGCCUCGUUCUUCAGUCAGGUUUUCCUUGUUCCCGCAUGUUCAGCCAAUCGUGUUUAAGGAGAAACUAACAAUGAAAACGGACUCGUUGAUGGAGGAAAAGUUGGAAUGCAGCCUCUGGUGCUGUUUGAGCGAUCUCUCUAUCCCGGGUCGCUGCUGUGUUCUGGAAAGGCGCAUUGUACCCUGGAUGCAGCAGCUUCAUCAGCAAUGGAAGUGGUUGAUAUGUGGACUCUGCAGAUUAUAUAACCUUCCUAAGCACCCGAAUGUUGAGAUGCCAGAUCAACCACUACCCACGGGUCAGAAUGGGACAACAGAAGAAGUGACUUCAAAAGAAGAGGAAGAAGAAGAGAUGGAUGAAGAUAUAGAAGACUUAGAUCACUAUGAGAUGAAAGAAGAGCCUACUAGUGAGAAGAAGUUGGAGGAUGAAGGAACUGAAAAAGAAAAUUGGGCAAUAUUAGAGAAAAUUAGGAAGACUGAAAGGCAAGGCCAUUUAAAUGUGUUGACCCUGAUAGUCCUUUGCACAGUGAUCUUCAGAUCUUAAAAGAAAAAGAAGAGAUAGGAGACAUUUUGCUUAUGUUUUAAGUGUUCCUGACAGCAUCUCAGAGGAUGGUGUCCUCUGGCUUACUCUCUGGGAAAUGCUGCUCUGUUGGAAAUCCGGAGUUCUGAGUGAUCCCCAUGUGUUUUCUGCUGCAGAGCAGGACAUGCUGAAGUGAUUCCUUCGUGAGCAGAUGUCAGAGGUCUCCCUCUGACAGCUUGUUACAAAGUUGAUCACGAAUAUACUAUUAUGUGUGUUAUGGUCCUCAUUAUUUGGAUGAAUAAUUUGAAUGAUAAGUCAGCUUGUGACUUAGCCAAAUAAAUCUUCUGAUUCCUAGUAAAGUGUUUUUCAUUAUAUGAAAUGCCAGCUAUGUAAGAGGAGAUUAAAAGUACUAAGAACUGUAAGUACUGCAUUGAUUAUCAUAUGCUAACCAUGGGCCAGGCACGGUGGCACACACCUAUAAUCCCAGCACUUUGGGAGGCUGAGGCGGGUGGAUCACUUGAGGUCAGGAGUUCAAGACCAUCCUGGCCAAGAUGGUGAAACCCCCAUCUCUACCACAAAUACAAAAAAUUUGCCAGAUGUGGUGGUGCAUACUGGUAAUCCCAGCUACUCAGGAGGCUGAGUCAGGAGAAUCGCUUGAACUCGGGAGGCAGAGGUUGCAGUGAGCUGAGAUCGUGCCACUGCGCUCCAGCCUGGGUGACAAAGAUAAACUCCAUCUGAACAAAAAAGAAAAAGAAAAGCUAAGCAUGGACUUAAUUUCUCUGAGAUUUAAAGCUGCAAAGAGUUGCUCUUCAUGAAGUAGAUGGGAUCUCAUCUGGGCAGUGAAAUGUGAGUGGGGUUUGGUCAGCUGGUGGAGGUUGCAGGAAAAUUAUUUACAGAGGUGAAGAGUAAGCGCAAUCAGGUAUCUAGGAAAGAGAAUGAGGGGUUCAGAGUAUACGAAACCAAUUUGAGCUAUAACACAAGGAGGGUAGGAUUCAUGUAGAAGAGUUGUAGGAAAUAUUGCUGAUGUAAUAUUUUGUACUCAAACAGUUCUGUGGAUUGGUGACAGAUUUGUUUUUUCAGGUAAGUAAACUAUUACCCCUGGAUAUUCAUCUUUCUAUGUAGCUGGUUGAGAAACAGGGGAGUAACAGUAAAGAAACUGUUUUAGAAUAAAUCUGGUGACAGCAGAAGAGAAUAUGAGACACAUUGUGCUCACAGAGCCUAGAAGAGUGUGACAGUAGUUGAGGGCACCGCUGCUGUCUUAGAGUGAAGUGAGGAGAACCUACAUUGGUGUGGUAGUCAUGGGAGUGGAAGGAGGAAUGAAAUGUGAAAGCCCAUUGGAGGCAGAAUCAAAAUGGCUUGGUCUUAAUAGUCAACUAUUAAGUAAGGAGGAAUUAUUGGCUGACUUAGGAAGAAGUGAAAAAUGUGAAAUACCAAUAAAACACCAGGCUUGCAAUUUUAGUCAGGGUAAAGCUUAAGCAUUGUGUGAUUCUAGAUAGAUUACUGAGGAGUUUUGUUCCAUUUAUUUUAUAUCCCAUAUCUUUGAGCUAUGAUCCUAUUCUUUAUUUCUUGACAUACCCAAACAUUUUUUAAACUAUUGUGAUACAGCUUUUAUAUGAUAAGCCUCACUCUUUGAAGUGUACAGUUUGGUGGUUUUUAGUAUAUUCAGAGUUAUGCAGCCAUUACCACUACCUAAUUUCAGAACCUUUUCUUCUCCCCAAAAAGAAACCCCAUGCCCAUUAGCAGUCACUCUGUAUACUCGUCUCCCCCACCGUUGAUCCUGGCGACCUCUGAUCUAAUUUCUGUCUCUGUAGAUUUGCCUAUCCUGGACAUUUCAUAUAAAUAGAAUCAUACAAAAUGUGGCAUUUUGUGAUUGACUUUUCUUUGAAGUGAUUAUAAAGCAAAUGUCUGAAGAGGCCAAGCUUAGGAUAGUGUUUGCUGUACAGCUUUGACAACUGAAUUUUUUUCAGUUGAAAAUAUUACUGUGUCUGUAUAUGUGGCAUAUUAUCCUUAGAUGACCGUUACUUCAGUUAUUAGAAUUUUUUUCCCUAGUAUUCUUGAACUGUCUCAAUAUUCAGUAGGAACCCUUUGGAGACAAAGAGCAGUAAGAAUUUGGAACACAUAUUGACGAAAUGAAUGUCAUUUAAUACAGUAGUAGAGUCUACCACUUUUAGGUGUCAGUGCUGCUGGAAGUGUAUAUUAAGGAAAAGUUUACUUAUCUUACUUAUCUAGUGAAGGUACUAGAACUACUUCUGUCUUCUGUUUAGAUUUCAACAAACAUUUGCAUAGGUAUUACGCGGUUGUACAAAUGUACUGUCUUUUGACCUGAAAAUGCAAAAACUUCCUUUCUUCCCACUUUCUGAGACUCUGCAACCUUAAAGGAAGAGUGGUGUACUUUAAAGGAAAGGUGGUGAUGGUUGGAUAAUGGGUAACAAUGUCUACAAUAUACUUCCUUUUCCCAAAACAAGUUCCUGUCUACCAUCAGCAUCUCCAAAAUUUGAAGAUCAAGUGUGGUGUCAACUCAUUAACUAAAUGACUAGACUUCGAGCAGUUGUGGAACCAAAAUCUGAGUGAGUGCCUGGAUGUUCUAAUUCUGUUAAAUCAGUGAGUGCACAUUAUAUACAAUACUCUGUUAGCCCAGUGGCAGAUUUAAGGAGUGAGAGAGAGAUUUCAAAUGUUUCAGAAAUCAAAUACACAAAGAAUAAAAAUUUGUAAUCCCAUGAUUGUUUACCUGAGUGUAAUUUUUCGGAGAGUUUUUCUUUUAGAUUUUCUUUUCCUUCCAUUAAACUUUCACUUUGAAAGUUCCCAGGGUUUGGGCAAAGCAAGUGGGAAAGACACUUGCUUGGAUUCUCCAGGGCAAGGGAGUUAAAGAAGACUUCUUUCCCUCAUUUUAUUAUUGAAUAAUGUCAUGAAAACAAUUAUUAAGGUGAAUGGUCUACAGUAGAAGUUUUUAGAUGCUUUCUCUGCAAAAUAAUUUGGUUUAGUCAAUGCAAGGAUGCCUUUGGUUAGCUGGAAUAGAAGAUGCGCAGGCUAGAGUGGUCUUGGCAAGUCUUCUGGGGGGAAAUACAGCAUUUGGAAGGGUAGGAAGCAGAAGGAAUCUCAAGCAAGGGAAAGGUGUGGGCAGAGCCCCGGAGGACAGAACCGUUUGUGGUGGACUUGGUGUCCACAUAGAUCUAAUCAGUGGUCUUAGCUUUUGUGUUUUCAAAAUUACCACAGUUUUUGUUCUAAAACUAUCAUUCCCUUGAUUUUACUUUAGGCAUGCUAUCUGUGUAUUUUGAAAUUUAAAAUAACAUUAAAGGAGAAAUGAAAUUAUUUUGUUUGAGAAAGAAUUAAAAGGUUAAAACAUCUUGAUCUAAAUAAUUUUCUAAUGGGAGAUUUGGUACAUCCCCAGAAGUUGUCUUUGGUUCAGAGAACAGUCUUCAGACCUAGAAAGGACUUGAGGAGUCCCAGAGAGGAGCCGCAUAGUGUGAACCAUUCGAUUCUCACAACAGAAUGGAUAAGAACAAUUUCAACCAUGAAACCGUGCAGAUGUUCAUAUUUUGAAUAGGGUAUGUAUUGGGUGGAGGAGCAUUAUGUAUGGAACCUCUCACAAAACAGCUCCUACUUUCAAGAAUGAAAAAGGUAUCCCAGCAGUUUGGGAGGCUGAGGCAGGCGGAUCACGAGGUCAGGAGAUCGAGACCAUCCUGGCUAACACGGGCUGAAGCAGUGCCUACUCGAUAGAAUCAGUCAUCAUGCAAAUAAAAGCCACCUGAGUCAAAGGCAAAGCCAGAGUGCAGCUUGGAGCAAAGAAGCUCUUUCAAUCCUCUUAAUAACUAUCUGCAUUUUAUGGAUGAGGCAACUGAAGGGUAGCAGGAAGUGAGUCACCACCUAUACUAAGCAGUCUAGUCUUCUGUGUAUAAAUGAGCAAGGGUGGGGAGCCAGAUUGGAGAACCUUGUGUAAUGCUGAGAUGCUCCAAGAGAAUCCAAGAGGAUGUCAGGAUUAUGCAUGGAGGCCACUUGCCCAUAUAACUUGGAGGAUAUUGAAGAAGAAUCAUACUGACCUGGUUCUGCUACCUAACAGCUGAGUUACUUUGGUCAAGCUCUUGGACUUCUGAGGCUGUUUCCUAAUUUCAAAA
Molecule: RNA transcript, 6170 nt
Organism: Gorilla gorilla gorilla (western lowland gorilla)
Lineage: Eukaryota; Metazoa; Chordata; Mammalia; Primates; Hominidae
Gene: UBE2Q2P16
Gene name: Putative ubiquitin-conjugating enzyme E2Q2-like protein
Exons: 13
Source: RefSeq, a predicted model, not a curated record